RNAcentral lists this ribosomal RNA (486 nucleotides) under uncultured bacterium. RNAcentral's name for it is "partial 16S ribosomal RNA". It matches the Rfam family "Bacterial small subunit ribosomal RNA", at positions 30 to 507 of the family's 1533-position model. The record is from RNAcentral.
AUUGAACGCUGGCGGAAUGCUUUACACAUGCAAGUCGAACGGCAGCACGGGAGCUUGCUCCUGGUGGCGAGUGGCGAACGGGUGAGUAACAUAUCGGAACGCACCCAGUCGUGGGGGAUAACUAUCCGAAAGGAUAGCUAAUACCGCAUACGUCCUGAGGGAGAAAGCGGGGGAUCGCAAGACUUCGCGCGAUUGGAGCGGCCGAUAUCGGAUUAGCUAGUUGGUGGGGUAAAGGCUCACCAAGGCGACGAUCCGUAGCGGGUCUGAGAGGACGACCAGCCACACUGGAACAGAGAAACGGUCCAGACUCCUACGGGAGGCAGCAGUGGGGAAUUUUGGACAAUGGGGGCAACCCUGAUCCAGCCAUCCCGCGUGAGUGAAGAAGGCCUUCGGGUUGUAAAGCUCUUUCAGCAGGAACGAAACGGUAAGCUUUAAUAAAGUCGGCUAAUGACGGUACCUGCAGAAGAAGCACCGGCUAACUACGUG